RNAcentral lists this small RNA (7970 nucleotides) under Pan troglodytes (chimpanzee). Its description in RNAcentral is "retained intron". Lineage: Eukaryota; Metazoa; Chordata; Mammalia; Primates; Hominidae. The record is from RNAcentral.
GUGGCAUUGGGAGGCCCGGCCUGGGGGAGGAGACGGCGUUCCGUUAGCGGCGUUGGGGUUUGGCUGCAGUGGAAGUGCUUUCUCCUCUGCUCACGGGGACCCGCUCAGGCUGGAGGCCAGCCAGCUCUUGCCGCCACCUCGGUCGCGAUGGGGGCGCAGGACCGGCCGCAGUGCCACUUCGACAUCGAGAUCAACCGGGAGCCGGUUGGUCGCAUUAUGUUUCAGCUCUUCUCAGACAUAUGUCCAAAAACAUGCAAAAACUUCCUUUGCUUGUGCUCAGGAGAGAAAGGCCUUGGGAAAACAACUGGGAAGAAGUUAUGUUAUAAAGGUUCUACGUUCCAUCGUGUGGUUAAAAACUUUAUGAUUCAGGGUGGGGACUUCAGUGAAGGUAGAGCUAAAAGUUGUGUUCCUAAUAACUCCAUCUAUCAGUUUUUAAAGUAUUUCAUUAUUACUUUUACUUCUAAAUAUUGUGUCAAUUACAGUAUGAUAUAAAAUGUGGUCAGUGAAUACUUGUUGGAUGAGUGAAUAUUAUAGAUCCAGAAUGUAUGAAAAAGCAAAGUACCACGUAAGACAUUUUAUUUUGUUUUUAUGCAGUUUAUUUUAUUAAUAUUAUAGUUACUUAGUGAAUUCCUUUACAAUGAAUGCCAAAGUACUGUCUGAUUGCUUUUGUUCUGGAAUGUUUUUGGUGUUAUUACUGUUUGAAAUAAGUAGGUUGUGAAGAUGACUUUUUUGAUGGUAUUUAUUGUAAUGGGACUUGACAUAUAUUUUAAAGAUGAAGUUAAUUGAGGACUCUGAGAAUUUUGAUUAUUGCAGCAGUUAUAACAUUCCAAGGUUUCCUUCAGCAAAUUGAAGCUAUCAAAAAUGAUUUCUGUGUUAGUAUAUUUUUAAUGUUCAUUAUGGCUUAAAGUAGGUGAUUAUUUGCAGGUAAUGGAAAAGGUGGAGAAUCAAUUUAUGGUGGAUAUUUUAAAGAGAAUGUGGUCUUUUGCAAAAUGAAAAGGUAAGAGAACGAAGCUCAGUAACACAAACUCCAAUUCUGUUCCCUUGCACCCUUCCUAAUAAAUUUAUGGACAGUCUGGGUCAGGUUGUGGCUGGAUUUCUAUAUUGCUUGAAGACUUGGAAAAUUCUGUGUAUUAUUUCAUACAUGCUUCUGUAUCUUUUUUCAUUUCCCAAUGGGUUAUUAAUUUCACAUCAGAGAAAAGAGUCUAGUUGUGGGGUUUUUUUCCCCCUAAACCAAGCAAUUUCUUUGAAUAAAAGUUGAAAUUUCCUUUUUCAAAGGUUUGUAUGUUUUCUUUUGUAUAUUAGAACUAUGACUGUGUUUAUUCUCAUAAUAGUAGCAUCUGCAUAAAUCUAACUAUUGCACUUGCCCCAAAAAGCCUUAGAAAAGUCAGUUGCAGAGAUUUGUAAUGAAAUCUAAUAUUACUAGGUUUUAACGCUAUAAUAGCUUCAGUGUUAUAAUAGUCUUUUAUAUUUCCUUUGGGGGAAAAUGGAUUACUACUCUUUUUCAGAAGCCUGUUCCCAAGGUAAUCACUUUUUAAAGUUUUCUGUGUUUCUGUUUGUUCUGAAGAAGAUUUGUUUGUAUGAAUGUUAAAAGGACAUUUAAGUUAGUUUUCAAGGAUAUUCCUGCUGGAAUUAAAAUAACUCUAAGUGAUCUUUAUCACAGAUUUUUUUUUCCUUUGAACUAGUAGGAAACAGCUAUUUAGCCGGUUCUAUUAUGUAGCAAUUUAAAACUAAUACUGUAGGCCACUUUGUGGUUGUUCCCUGUGGCAGAUACUUUUGUACCUUAAAAUUGUAUUUUGCUAUUUAAAUUUUUGUUUCACAGGGCUUUCUUCCUUAGAUAAUUUUGUGAUACAAUUGAGUAUACACAUACUUAAUUUAGAUAUGUUCCUGUAACUUAAUAUAACAUAAUUUUUUUGUCUUACAGUCUAGCUUCAAUUAAGUUGAAUAAUAAAUUUACCGUAUAAAAAUUAAACACCUAAAAAGAUUAUUAAACUUCUUCCAUGUAUAGCACAUUAGGCAAGCUAAUUGAAAAUUUGGAGGAAGUAGGCUAGAGAUUUUUCUAAAAUUUUACUAGUUUUCCCUGAAAGUUAAUAAUUUAAAUAUCAUUUAGCCAAAGUAUGUUACUACUAAAAGUGACUGUUCUAAGGCUGUUUGUGUGAAGUAUUAAAUAUAUGUUCUUUUCCUCAAGGCUUUAAUUAGUAUCUUUUGGCCUUUUUAUGCUUUUGUUAUUUGAUUAGCUUAAAUUUUUCUUUUCUGAGUGUUCAGUCAAGUUAUCUGUACUGACCAGAAGAGGAAUUUCAUCUUUUGCUUUCUAUUUAUUACUUGAACAUUACUUUAAAGUGACUUAUAAUUGGAGACUGACAAAUUUGUGUUUUCUUCAAACAGAUGAAAACUUUAUUCUCAAACAUGACAGAGCGUUCCUUUUAUCAAUGGCAAAUCGAGGGAAACAUACCAAUGGUUCCCAGUUUUUCAUAAAGAGUGUUACACCGUGCGCUCCACAGGUAAUGUCUCAUUACUCUAAGGCUCUCUCUCUUUCUUUGCCUUUAUCUCUUUAAUUCUGUUGUUAUGUGCAUUGAAACAUUUUAAGAAAAAAAAAACUUUCUGCUUUAUCUGUAUAGCAGCAGUACAUGUAAAACAAGUGCAUUUUAUUUUUCAUGGUUAAUCCUGGGAACUAUAUUUUAACUUCAGUGGCUUGUUUCCACCAAGUUCCUGUACAUCUUCUGGUGGGGGAGUGGGGUUAUUAGUUUAUAGUAUGGUUUUAGUUCUCAUUUCAGUGUGGAAUUAGUCAUUUCUGUAUAAGGGCAAAAGGUUCUCUGAUAAUGGUAUAAAACUAUAGAUUGUUUUUGGAGUAGCAGUGACACUUGUCAAUUUCUAGGAUUUAUAAGGCUUAAAUACCUUGCACACAUGUUUUUUAAAGUAGAUUCAGGGGUCGGGAAAACUGAAAAAUCACUGUCUUUAAGUACAAGAGAAAAAUGGAAAUGCAUAAAUAUUGAAAGGUUUUAUAAUUUGAAAUGUUCUUUGUGGUUUUUUCUUUUUUAGGUAUGUUUUCAUAAGCAUAUAUAAAUUUAAACAUUUUUGAUAGCCUCUGGCCUUAACUUACUGAGCAUGUGUCACCAUUGCAUAGCUCUUUAAACAGCCGCUUUUAAGAUCAAUGCAAUUUUUUUUUAAUUGAAGGUUUUGAAAGAUUAAGAGUUAGUGAGAUGAGCUCUCUGCCUCUUUUAGUAGAAUUGAAUAGUCUGGACUGUGAAUAUUAUUUCUCUCGGCCCUUUUGUAACCCUCUUUGGCUAAUGUCCUCUGUUCAUCCACGUAUUAGCCAAGUGCCAGUAACCCUGCUUUACAUUGGGAUUUCUACUCCUGGAAUGUAGGUUGAGAACCCCAGAGGGCUUCUUUUUGUUAAAUACUUUUAGUAUUCUUAAUAUGUAAUCUAACCCAAUUAAAGUGCAGACUUAUAUUUCUGUAUCUUGAGUUGCAGAUGCAAGUAAUGGACUUUAAUCAUUCCUAUCAGGUUUAGGCACUAUGGGCAGGCUGAGUUGUCCUUGAAAGAGUCAUUCGUGUCUUCAUUUGUUUUCUGCACUACUGCUAUAAAGGACCAAGUUUGCCUAUUCUUGGCAGUUUUCAUUUGAAUUAAAAACUAAACUUGAAUGUCAUAAAGAUAGCUAUUCCAUCCUCAAAUUGAGUCUCAAGUAGUAUGUUGCUGCAUCGCUACACUACUCUGGAAUGUUUUAUUCCACCAUUUUCUCCAAAGGUUUGCCAUAAAGUGGUUUUUACAGCCUUUCUAUCAGCCAAGAUGGCAAAUUGAAUUGGGCUCUUUAUGUUUUAAGAAAAAUUUGCAGGCUUUCCCCAAUACUGCAGGAUCUGUGAGUCAUGGGAGAAAGGAUCAAAGAAGGAGAAGGAAUGUAUCUAAUCAGGAAACCAUACAUCGUUUUUACUUCUACAUAUUUGGGGCUGAUCCCUUACACUGUAGAAAAAUUUACUUUUUUAAAAGCACUUUUGGCUGGGCGUGGUGGCUCACGCCUAUAAUCCCAGCACUUUGAGAGGCUGAGGCAGGUGGAUCACCUGAGGUCAGGAGUUUGAGACCAGCUUGGCCAACAUGGUGAAACCCCGUCUCUACUAAAGUUACAGAAAUUAGAUGGGCCUGGUGGCGCAUGCCUGUAAUCCCAGCUACUCAGGAGGCUGAGGCAGGAGAAUCACUUGAAUCCGGGAGGCAGAGGUUGCAUUGAGCCGAGAUCGUGCCAUCGCACUCUAGCCUGGGCAACAGAGUGAGACUCCAUCUCAAAAUAAACAAACAAAUAAAAAUAAAAGCACUCUUUACAUCUUUCAUAUAAUAGAGUCACUAGCUUCUGUACCAAUUUCUUGUCUUUAGUGUACUUUGGUAAAGUUUUAUAAUUAAAGCACAUUUCUAUCUUGAAGUUACCAUCCAAGGUGGUUUCUGGAUGCUAGUUUAAUGGUUUAAAUACUAGUGGCUCACUAAUUCACUAGAUAGUUUUUGUUCUGUUUUCUUUUUGCUGCCUGUUUUUAUUUUUAUAAUUACAUUGGCAUGAAUUUCCACUUUUCAAUCUUCUAAGGAAUAUUUGAGAUUUUUGCUUUUAAAACUUAGUAUUUCCUUUAAAAUUCUGGAACUUCUUAAGUUGACAUUUUAAUUUUUUUAAAUUAAAUUCUGUAGUGCUCUUACAGAACCGAAUAUUCUUAAUGUAAGUAUAAGCAUUACAAAUCCUCGUAGAAUAAAUAUUUUUAGCAUUGUUACGAAGGUUAAAAACUGGGUUUUGUUCAUUUACAUGUCUUAAAAUUGCCUUAAAAUGAAUACAGAAAUUUAUAUGGCAGCUUCUAGUACAGUUUACUGCUUUAACAUGGCCUGACAUCUAGUGAUAUUUUUCUCUCUUUCAAAUUUCUGUUUUCUAUCUCUUAAAUAUCUGUUUCUCAUUCUUAUAAAUCAAGAUGCUUGUAGUAUAUAAUUCUGAGACUAAUUAUCUGCUUUUGAAUUUUUUCCACUGCAAUUCAUAUAAUGUGAAGAUCUGUGAAAAUGCUAUGGGAAAACUAGCUUGGGUUCAAAAUAUCUUAACCAAAUAUACCCUGUAGGCUUCCCAAGAGUGACUGUCUAUCAGUUGGUGACUGUAGAAGAAGCCAGUUGGGUGUUUUCUGGGCCAAGGAAAUUUAAAAUGUCUGUAAUGUUAUCCAUCAUUACUUUUUGCUGUCAGAAGGGAUGGCAGAUUGAAGCUUUUCUCCCUAUCGCAUUUUCAGAGUUGCUGUGUCAGAGCUUCACCUUGGGUGAAGGAAGAUGGGCAGGAAUUCUGGAAACAGAACUCCUGAGACCUACCUCUGCCUGCCUAAAAAUGUGGACUGACUCAGUAUGAGAAAUAACAAAUAAGAAAACAUUUAAGUGUUUGGGGCAAAUGUUAAUCACACUUUCUUUCCAUAGGGCAAAUAGGAGGUGCUUUUCUUAUUUAAUUACGCUGAUAAAUUUUGAGGGUUUUUUUUUAAGUGUUUUGUUUUGUUGUUUUGGAGUUGAGAGUAACUUUAAUUUUUAUGUGUAUUCAUGCUGUGUAUUUAUGGCUACAAGUCAAACUGAUUUCAUAUGUAUGCAUACAUAUAGUCUAAUAGAGAUGGUUGUAAUUCAUUAUAAUCUUGAGUUUUUUAAAUUAGUAAGAUGGCUACUAUUGCUGUUUUGGGGUUUUUAAGGUUAGAUAUAUAUCAUGUUUAACUUUUUCCCCUAUCUUUUUAUCUUUACUUCUUUGUUCUCUACAUGCUGUGUUUAAACCUUUCUGCUCUCUUCACCUGAACACAUCGUGUUUGACAUCAUCUUUGUGUUGAUGUUUAUUACAUAGUACCACAAAGCCUGCUCCACACCUGGAUGGGGUGCAUGUCGUCUUUGGACUGGUUAUUUCUGGUUUUGAAGUAAUCGAACAAAUUGAAAAUCUGAAGACCGAUGCUGCAAGCAGACCAUAUGCAGAUGUGCGAGUUAUUGACUGUGGAGUACUUGCCACAAAAUCAAUAAAAGAUGUUUUUGAGAAAAAAAGGAAGAAACCAACUCAUUCAGAAGGCUCGGAUUCCUCUUCCAAUUCCUCUUCUUCUUCAGAAUCAUCUUCAGAAAGUGAAAUUGAACAUGAGAGAAGCAGAAGGAGGAAACAUAAGAGGAGGCCAAAAGUUAAACGUUCUAAAAAGAGGCGAAAGGAAGCAAGCAGUUCAGAAGAGCCAAGGAAUAAACAUGUAAUGAACCCAAAAGGUCACUCUGAGAGGAGUGAUACCAAUGAAAAAAGGUCAGUUGAUUCCAGUGCUAAAAGGGAAAAACCUGUGGUCCGCCCAGAAGAGAUUCCUCCAGUGCCUGAGAACCGAUUUUUACUGAGAAGAGAUAUGCCUGUUGUUACUGCAGAACCUGAACCGAAGAUUCCUGAUGUUGCACCCAUUGUAAGUGAUCAGAAACCAUCUGUAUCAAAGUCUGGACGGAAGAUUAAAGGAAGGGGCACAAUUCGCUAUCACACACCUCCAAGAUCAAGAUCCUGUUCUGAGUCAGAUGAUGAUGACAGCAGUGAAACUCCUCCUCACUGGAAAGAGGAAAUGCAGAGAUUAAGAGCAUAUAGACCACCUAGUGGAGAAAAAUGGAGUAAAGGAGAUAAGUUAAGUGACCCCUGUUCAAGCCGAUGGGAUGAAAGAAGCUUGUCUCAGAGAUCCAGAUCAUGGUCCUAUAAUGGAUAUUAUUCAGACCUUAGUACAGCAAGACACUCUGAUGGCCACCAUAAAAAACGCAGAAAAGAAAAAAAGGUUAAGCAUAAAAAGAAAGGGAAAAAGCAGAAACACUGCAGAAGACACAAACAAACAAAGAAGAGAAGGAUUCUUAUACCGUCUGACAUAGAAUCCUCAAAAUCUUCCACUCGAAGAAUGAAAUCCUCUUGUGAUAGAGAAAGGAGUUCUCGUUCUUCCUCAUUGUCGUCUCAUCACUCAUCAAAGAGAGACUGGUCUAAAUCUGAUAAGGAUGUCCAGAGCUCUUUAACCCAUUCCAGCAGAGACUCAUACAGAUCAAAAUCUCACUCACGGUCUUAUUCUAGAGGAAGCUCAAGAUCAAGGACUGCGUCAAAGUCCUCAUCACAUUCUCGAAGUAGAUCAAAGUCCAGAUCUAGUUCCAAGUCUGGGCACCGAAAGAGAGCAUCAAAAUCACCAAGAAAAACAGCUUCUCAGUUAAGUGAAAAUAAACCAGUUAAAACAGAACCUUUAAGAGCAACCAUGGCACAAAAUGAAAAUGUAGUAGUACAACCAGUUGUAGCAGAAAAUAUUCCUGUAAUACCACUGAGUGACAGUCCCCCCCCUUCAAGAUGGAAGCCUGGACAGAAACCUUGGAAGCCCUCUUAUGAGCGAAUUCAGGAAAUGAAAGCUAAAACAACCCAUUUGCUACCCAUCCAAAGCACUUACAGUUUAGCAAAUAUUAAAGAGACUGGUAGCUCAUCAUCCUACCAUAAAAGAGAAAAAAAUUCAGAAAGUGAUCAGAGCACUUAUUCAAAAUACAGUGAUAGAAGUUCAGAAAGCUCACCAAGGUCAAGGAGCAGAUCUUCUAGGAGUAGAUCUUAUUCCAGAUCAUAUACAAGAUCACGUAGUCUAGCUAGUUCACAUUCAAGGUCUAGGUCUCCAUCAUCUAGAUCUCAUUCACGAAAUAAAUACAGUGAUCAUUCACAGUGUAGUAGAUCAUCUUCAUAUACUUCUAUUAGCAGUGAUGAUGGAAGGCGAGCUAAGAGGAGACUUAGAUCCAGUGGGAAAAAAAAUAGUGUUUCACAUAAAAAGCAUAGCAGCAGCUCUGAAAAGACACUUCACAGUAAAUAUGUCAAAGGUAGAGACAGGUCUUCAUGUGUGAGAAAGUAUAGCGAGAGCAGAUCAUCUUUAGAUUAUUCUUCAGACAGUGAGCAGUCAAGUGUUCAGGCCACACAGUCAGCCCAGGAAAAAGAGAAGCAGGGCCAAAUGGAAAGAACACAUAAUAAACAAGAAAAAAA